UCAGUCGACUCCUACGGGGAGGCAGCAGUGGGGAAUAUUGCACAAUGGGGGAAACCCUGAUGCAGCCAUGCCGCGUGUGUGAAGAAGGCCUUCGGGUUGUAAAGCACUUUCAGUAGGGAGGAAGGUAGUGUAGUUAACACCUGCACUAUUUGACGUUACCUACAGAAGAAGCACCGGCUAACUCCGUGCCAGCAGCCGCGGUAAUACGGAGGGUGCGAGCGUUAAUCGGAAUUACUGGGCGUAAAGCGCAUGCAGGCGGCCUGUUAAGUCAGAUGUGAAAGCCCGGGGCUUAACCUCGGAAUUGCAUUUGAAACUGGCAGGCUAGAGUCUUGUAGAGGGGGGGUAGGAAUUUCAGGUGUAGCGGUGAAAUGCGUAGAGAUCUGAAGGAAUACCAGUGGCGAAGGCGGCCCCCUGGACAAAGACUGACGCUCAGAUGCGAAAGCGUGGGGAGCAAACAGGAUUAGAUACCCUGGUAG
RNAcentral lists this ribosomal RNA (476 nucleotides) under uncultured bacterium. RNAcentral's name for it is "bacterial SSU rRNA". It matches the Rfam family "Bacterial small subunit ribosomal RNA", at positions 328 to 793 of the family's 1533-position model. The record is from RNAcentral.